CAGGAUGCAAACAUUGAGUAGGAAAGGGGAGCAGCGUUGCACAGCCUCCGCCUGUCCUGAAAUAUGAAACAAGAUGCAUGAUGCCAUGCAAGGCAACAGAACCCAGGUGGGCCUGACCAACUCCACAACGACUAAGCUGAACACACAGCUCUCAAGCAACAUAUUGCGAAUCUUUGGAACCACUAUCUGACUUGCAUAUGCUAUGGAUGCAGAGCAGACAGGAAGAAAAUCAAUACGAUUGGCCUGAUUAUGAGCUACUCACAGCUGGUGAAUAAUCCUUUUUUUAUUCUACUGGUAAGCCUUACCCUUCCUUCCAGCCACAGUACAUCAGUCAAUCAAUGUACGCCUUUAUCAGAAGAACCUGCAUUAAAACGCUUGUAGAGCUUCCCCUUUCAAAGAGGGAAUAGUGCACAAUGGAAGCAGACGGAUCUGCUGCCAGAAAAAAAGUCCUUCUCAAACUCCAUGAAACUAGAGAAAGCAAAAUUGGAUUACUCAUUGGAUUAUCAUCCCAUCGUGCCAUUGGACAUCUGACCUGCUGUGACAUCACUGCCAAAAAUAAAGCAACAA
Molecule: long non-coding RNA, 567 nt
Organism: Lacerta agilis (Sand lizard)
Lineage: Eukaryota; Metazoa; Chordata; Lepidosauria; Squamata; Lacertidae
Exons: 3
Source: RefSeq, a predicted model, not a curated record